CAGUAGCCGCGGUAAUACGUAGGUGGAAAGCGUUGUCCGGAAUUAUUGGGCGUAAAGGGCUCGCAGGCGGUUUCUUAAGUCUGAUGUGAAAGCCCCCGGCUCAACCGGGGAGGGUCAUUGGAAACUGGGAAACUUGAGUGCAGAAGAGGAGAGUGGAAUUCCACGUGUAGCGGUGAAAUGCGUAGAGAUGUGGAGGAACACCAGUGGCGAAGGCGACUCUCUGGUCUGUAACUGACGCUGAGGAGCGAAAGCGUGGGGAGCGAACAGGAUUAGAUACCGCGUAGUCCCUGUCUCUUAUACA
RNAcentral lists this ribosomal RNA (301 nucleotides) under uncultured bacterium. RNAcentral describes it as "partial 16S ribosomal RNA". It matches the Rfam family "Bacterial small subunit ribosomal RNA", at positions 509 to 808 of the family's 1533-position model. The record is from RNAcentral.